AACGGAAAGGCCCUGCUUGCAGGGUACUCGAGUGGCGAACGGGUGAGUAACACGUGGGUGAUCUGCCCUGCACUUCGGGAUAAGCUUGGGAAACUGGGUCUAAUACCGGAUAGGAGCCAUCUUUAGUGUGGUGGUUGGAAAGUUUUUUCGGUGUAGGAUGAGCUCGCGGCCUAUCAGCUUGUUGGUGGGGUAAUGGCCUACCAAGGCGGCGACGGGUAGCCGGCCUGAGAGGGUGUACGGCCACAUUGGGACUGAGAUACGGCCUAGACUCCUACGGGAGGCAGCAGUGGGGAAUAUUGCACAAUGGGCGCAAGCCUGAUGCAGCGACGCCGCGUGGGGGAUGAAGGCCUUCGGGUUGUAAACUCCUUUCGCUAGGGACGAAGCUUUGUGUGACGGUACCUAGAUAAGAAGCACCGGCUAACUACGUGCCAGCAGCCGCGGUAAUACGUAGGGUGCGAGCGUUGUCCGGAAUUACUGGGCGUAAAGGGCUCGUAGGUGGUUUGUCGCGUCGUCUGUGAAAUUCUGGGGCUUAACUCCGGGCGUGCAGGCGAUACGGGCAUAACUUGAGUGCUGUAGGGGUAACUGGAAUUCCUGGUGUAGCGGUGAAAUGCGCAGAUAUCAGGAGGAACACCGAUGGCGAAGGCAGGUUACUGGGCAGUUACUGACGCUGAGGAGCGAAAGCAUGGGUAGCGAACAGGAUUAGAUACCCUGGU
Molecule: ribosomal RNA, 713 nt
Filed under: uncultured Corynebacterium sp.
Lineage: Bacteria; Bacillati; Actinomycetota; Actinomycetes; Mycobacteriales; Corynebacteriaceae
Description: bacterial SSU rRNA
Rfam family: Bacterial small subunit ribosomal RNA
Source: RNAcentral